RNAcentral lists this ribosomal RNA (2544 nucleotides) under Archangium sp. RNAcentral's name for it is "partial 23S ribosomal RNA". It matches the Rfam family "Bacterial large subunit ribosomal RNA", at positions 1 to 2500 of the family's 2925-position model. Lineage: Bacteria; Pseudomonadati; Myxococcota; Myxococcia; Myxococcales; Archangiaceae. The record is from RNAcentral.
AAGUAAGCUACUAAGGGCGUGCGGUGGAUGCCUAGGCACUGAGAGGCGAUGAAGGACGUGGGUGGCUGCGAUAAGCUCUGGGGAGUUGCCAACCGAACAUUGAUCCAGAGAUUUCCGAAUGGGGAAACCCAGCUGACGUAACGGUCAGUUACUACAUCCUGAAUACAUAGGGGUGUAAGAGCGAACCAGGGGAAGUGAAACAUCUCAGUACCCUGAGGAAAAGAAAACAAUGAGUGAUUCCCGUAGUAGUGGCGAGCGAACCGGGAAAAAUAAGCCUAAACCAGUGUCACGAAAGUGACAUUGGGGUUGCGGGUCCACGGUAGGACCAUGGGUUGUUAGCGGAACUGCCUGGAAAGGCAGACCAAAGAGCGUGAUAGUCGCGUACGCGAAAACGACCUGUGGCCGAGUGGGGUACCCAAGUAAGACGGAACACGAGCAAUUCUGUCUGAAUCUGCCAGGACCAUCUGGUAAGGCUAAAUACUACUCAGUGACCGAUAGUGAACAAGUACCGCGAGGGAAAGGUGAAAAGAACCCCUGUGAGGGGAGUCAAAAGAACCUGAAACCGCAUGUCUACAAGCAGUUCGAGCACCACGCCGCAAGGCAAGUGCGAGAGCGUACCUUUUGCAUCAUGAUUCGGCGACUUAAUGUACGUAGCGAGGCUAAGCCGAUAGGUGGAGCCGGAGCGAAAGCGAGUCCGAAAUGGGCGACGAGUUGCGUGUAUUAUAACCCGAAGCGGGAUGAUCUACGCAUGGCCAGGUUGAAGUGCGGGUAACACCGCAUGGAGGACCGAACGCAUGGAAGUUGAAAAUUUCUGCGAUGAGCUGUGCGUAGGGGUGAAAGGCCAAUCAAAUUCCGUGAUAGCUGGUUCUCCCCGAAAGAUAUUUAGGUAUCGGCUCGGGUAAUUCACUGUUGGAGGUAGAGCACUGGAACGGCUAGGGGUCUCACCAGAUUACCAAACCGUACCAAACUCCGAAUGCCAACAAGUGUUAUCCCGGGACGCAGUCGGUGGGUGAUAACGUCCAUCGGCAAGAGGGGAAUAACCCAGACCGUCGGCUAAGGUCCCCAAGUUUUGGCUAAGUGAACACUAGAAAGGAUGUGGAGGGUCAUUGACAACCAGGAAGUUGGCUUAGAAGCAGCCAUCUUUUAAAGAAAGCGUAAUAGCUCACUGGUCGAGACAAUCCGCGCCGAAAAUGUAACGGGGCUAAGCCAAGCACCGAAGCCACGGGUCAUGUCUAUUUUGAUAGGCAUGGCGGUAGGGGAGCGUUGAUGUUGCAGCGAAGCACGAUGGUAAUGGCGUGUGGAGCGACAUCAAGUGCUGAUGCCGAAAUGAGUAGCGAUAAGGGAUGUGAGAAUCAUCCCCCCCGUAAGCGUAAGGUUUCCUGGGUCAAGUCAAUCUUCCCAGGGUUAGCCGGGUCCUAAGUCGAGCCCGAAAGGGGUAGAUGAUGGCAAGCAGGUUAAUAUUCCUGCGCUGGCUGUUAGACGUUGAACUAAGGGGUGACGGAGAAAGCUAACUCAGCUGACCGGUGGUUGUGUCAGUCUAAGGUCGUAGGAGUGCCUCGUACGAAUAAAGGCGGGGCAGUUAUCUCCGAGAGCCGAAUGCGAGCGCGUUAGCGCGAAGUGAGUGAUGCUCUGCUUCCAAGAAAAACCUCGUAGGGAGUCUAGCGGUCAUCCGUACCGUAAACCGACACAGGUGCGCGAGGCGAGUAGCCUCAGGGGCCCGAGAGAACUCUCCUCCAAGGAACUAGGCAAAUUGACACCGUAACUUCGGAAGAAGGUGUGCCCUCGGUAGGUGUAGUCGUACAGACGAAGCCGAAGAGGGUUGCAGAGAAUAGGGGGUAGCGACUGUUUACCAAAAACACAGGACUCUGCGAAGGCGAGAAGCCGACGUAUAGGGUCUGACUCCUGCCCGGUGCUGGAAGGUUAAGGGGAUCCGUCAGCGCAAGCGAAGCGGUGAUCCGAAGCCCCAGUAAACGGCGGCCGUAACUAUAACGGUCCUAAGGUAGCGAAAUUCCUUGUCGGGUAAGUUCCGACCUGCACGAAAGGAGUAACGACUUCCCCACUGUCUCGGAGAGGGACUCGGCGAAAUUGAAAUAGCUGUGCCGAUGCAGUUUACCCGCAGAAAGACGGAAAGACCCCGUGAACCUUUACUACAACUUGACAGUGACACUAGGGAUUGGCUGUGUAGGAUAGGUGGGAGCCUUUGAAGCCGGGCCGCUAGGUUCGGUGGAGGCAACGGUGAAAUACCACCCUGCUGAUUUCUGGUGUCUAACCGUGGCCCGUCAUCCGGGUCCGGGACACUGUCUGGUGGGUAGUUUGACUGGGGCGGUCGCCUCCCAAAGAGUAACGGAGGCGCGCGAUGGUACCCUCAGCCUGAUUGGAAACCAGGCGUCGAGUGCAAUGGCAUAAGGGUGCUUGACUGCAAGAGCGACGGUUCGAGCAGGUGCGAAAGCAGGUCAUAGUGAUCCGGUGGUUCUGAAUGGAAGGGCCAUCGCUCAACGGAUAAAAGGUACUCCGGGGAUAACAGGCUUAUCUCCUCCAAGAGUU